RNAcentral lists this long non-coding RNA (375 nucleotides) under Olea europaea (common olive). RNAcentral describes it as "long non-coding RNA (OEUR_LNC001456)". The record is from RNAcentral. Lineage: Eukaryota; Viridiplantae; Streptophyta; Magnoliopsida; Lamiales; Oleaceae.
AAUUACUACCUCAGUGUACCUACUAAAUAUUUCUCCUACAAAGGCUGUCUUAAAUCAAACACCAUAAGAAGCUUGGAGAGGUACAAAACCUAUGGUAAGCCACUUAAGAAUUUUUGGUUGUAUUGCUUAGGCUUUAGUAAAUUCUUAAAAUCUCCAAAAACUGGAUGAAAAAUCUAAAAAAUGCAUUUUCAUCGGUUAUUGUCUUGAAUCCAAAGCAUAUAGGUUAUACAACCCUCUUAGUGGCAAAGUGAUUGUUAGCAGAAAUGUAAUCUUUAAUGAAGAAGCAGGCUGGAAUUGGAGUAGCAAAAGUGACGGAAUUCAACUUGAAACCUCAUUGAAUGAAAUGGUGAACCCAAUACUAGAAAACUCAACAAA